This 946-nucleotide long non-coding RNA is filed under the name Coturnix japonica (Japanese quail). RNAcentral's name for it is "lncRNA (ENSCJPG00005020633.1)". Lineage: Eukaryota; Metazoa; Chordata; Aves; Galliformes; Phasianidae. The record is from RNAcentral.
UCCCUCUCCUCCCUGCAGCCUUCCCUCCUCCAAUCACAGCAACCUUCCCACCUUCCAUCUCCGUGCCGCAUCCUUCUCGCCUCUCCUCGCUGCAACCUUCCCUCCGCCGGCUCCGAUUGGCUGAGCCCCCUCCCCAGGUUUGCAGCGUCGGUCCACGCGGCACCUGCGCCCCAAACGGGGCCGUUUAUCCACGGUAUAAAUGCUGGGCUCUGUCCUAGCGAGGAAAUGUUGCAAAAAAAUGCUACAGGAGGAAAGAAAUUUUGCUAAUGUUGCGACGGUUCAACCCCAUGCUGCAGAUAUCAGCACGUAGAUAUCAGCAUGCAGCCCUACUGUGCCCCACGUGCUGCAAGGAGAGGCCCGCAGUGCCCUGCAAAGAGGGAUCCCACUUCACCACCUCUCUGCUCACAAAGUGGAAAUGGGGUCUUGCUGAAGGGAAGUUGUGAUUGGAGGUCUGUGACUUGGAUUCUGAAGCAGUGGAAUUGGCCAUGUUUUAUUGCAAGCAAAAAAUGGCAUUUCUCUCAUGACCAUGUAAAGGGAAGAAUGGCAAGAAGCAUGAUCUCCCUUCUCUUUGUGCUGGUUUCACAAGGGCUCACUCAAUGAAUGAAUGAGUUCUGCUUUUGACUCGCAGAAACACAAGGGAGAAAGGCCAUCCUUUAUGAAGGGAGAAUGUAGAUGUAGCUUUACUUCAUAGAGUAAGCACUGUUUUGGUAGAAUUGUUUGUAGAACUUUGGCUGCUUUAGAUGGUAGGUCUGCUUCUAUGGUAUCUUAACAUGCAAAGGUUUGUGUGUUGAGAUGAGAAUGAAUUCUUCAGGUUAAUCAGAUGCAGGGAAUGCACACCUGUUUGGCUAUAUAGGGAGGUCUGCAAAUAGAGAAGCAAAAAGGGGUUUUGCAUUAGGGUCUAAGAAAUGUUUCUGGUUUCCCCCACAAGUUUGCCUUCCUUGCCAAG